ACUCUUAUUAUAUACUCUACAACUGCAAGUCUCUAAAGCUCAGUACUUGAGUGAGCUCACUACCUAACAUCAAAUGGAAAAACUCCCAAUCCUUCAAUUCGAAGACAAAAUCAUCGACACAGUAAACAAAAACAUCGUCACCGUCUUAAUCGGAGAAACAGGUUCAGGCAAAAGCACCCAACUUUCUCAAAUCCUCUUCCGCCAUGGCUACGCUAAUUCCGGCACAAUCUGCGUCACUCAACCUCGCCGUGUCGCCGCCGUCUCCGUCUCCCGUCGCGUUUCCCAAGAAAUGGCCGUACCACUCGGCCAACAAGUCGGCUACGCCAUCCGAUUCGAAGAUCGAACUUCACCCCAAACUCGAAUCAAAUACGUAACUGAUGGUGUUCUUCUAAGAGAGAGUUUAUCCGACCCAGAACUUCGCUCUUAUUCCGUCAUCAUUCUAGAUGAAGCCCAUGAAAGGAGCUUAAACAUGGACAUAUUAAUGGGUCUUGUAAAAAGAUUGGUUGAUAUUCGAGGUUCUUCGGGUUUUAGGGUUUUGAUUACUUCUGCUACACUUGAAGGAGAGAAGGUAUCCGCAUUUUUUAACGGGUGUCCUGUUUUAAAUGUACCCGGGAAACUGUUUCCUGUCGAGGUGAUUUACAGGAUGGAUGAUGAUGGUGGUGGUGGAGGAUUCAGAUCUUAUGUAGAUGCCGCGUUGAAGGUGGCCAUUGACAUUCAUGUUAAAGAGCCUGAAGGGGAUAUAUUGAUAUUCAUGACAGGUCAAGAAGAUAUUGAGAAAUUGGUUAAGAAGCUCGAAGAUCGAGUUCGGAGUUUGGAAGAAGGUUCUGUGAUGGAUGCUGUGAUUCAUCCACUUCAUGGGUCAUUGCCCCCUGAGUUACAGGUGCGUGUUUUUAGCCCUCCUCCGCCGAAUUGUAGGAGAUUUAUUGUUGCGACUAAUAUUGCUGAGACUUCUUUAACUGUUGAUGGAGUUGUGUAUGUUAUUGAUUCUGGUUAUGUUAAGCAAAGACAGUAUAAUCCUUCUACUGGAAUGUAUUCUUUGGAUGUUGUUAAGAUUAGUAGAGUGCAGGCUAAUCAACGAGCGGGGCGUGCUGGGAGAACACGCCCCGGGAAAUGCUAUAGGUUGUAUCCUUAUGUGGUGUAUAAAGAUGAGUUUAUGGAGGCCGCGGUUCCUGAGAUACAGAGAACCUCGCUUGGUGGGAGUGUUUUGUAUUUGAAAACAUUGGACCUUCCUGGCAUUGAUAUUCUUAAGUUUGAUUUUCUAGACCCGCCUUCUUACGGAUCUUUAGGUGAUGCACUUAGGCAAUUGUACCUUAUUGAUGCUAUUGAUGAGGAUGGAUUGAUAACAAGUGUUGGGCGAACUAUGUCUGAGCUUCCAUUGGAGCCUUCAUUGUCGAGGACUUUGAUAGCGGCUAAUGAGAAUGGAAGCCUUUCGCAGGCUUUGACUAUCGCUGCUAUGUUAUCGGCUGAAACUUCUCUGCUUCCUAGUUUCGUAAAAGGGUCUGAAAAGAAACGGAAGCAUACUCCUUUGAAGCUUCCGGAUGGAGAUGGUUUGGGUGAUCAUAUACAGCUGCUCCAGAUUUAUGAGUUUUGGAGUGAAACAAACUAUGAUCUCGAAUGGUGCAAAGAGUAUGGAUUGCAGAUAAGAGGGAUGUCAUUUGUCAAGGACGUCCGUGGACAGUUAUGUCAAAUAAUGCAGAAGAUGGCAAAAUGUCCAAUGGAAGUUCACGGGAGACAUAGCUCUAGAGAAAGAAAACUGAGUUAUAGAAACUUGAGGAGGGCACUCUGUGUUGGUUACGCUAAUCAGCUUGCUGAAAGAAUGAUGCGCCAUAAUGGGUACAGAACACUUGGGUUGAAGUCUCAGCUUGUUAAGGUACACCCAUCAUCUGUGUUACUACCCGAUGAGGAUGGAAUGCUUCCGAAUUAUGUGGUGUUCCAUGAGUUGAUAACAACGUCUAGUCCAUUCAUGCGGAAUGUAUGUGCUGUAGAGAUGCAAUGGAUCUCCCCCAUCUUGAAGAAGCUUGAGAAUCUUGAUAUUAACAAACUCAGUGGGGGCAUGAGUGAUCUUGAGGAUGAUACUUCAGGAAAGGUUCAAGAUGUGUUGAAGAAGGAAGCUAAGGAUGUUGAGUCGCCUGCUGACCGUGAUAGUAAGAUUCAGGCAGCUCGAGACCGUUUUCUUGCCCGUAAAGGGAAGAAGUAGCCAUUGGGUGAGAGAUUGCCAUCUGGUUCCAAGCACAUUAUUCCUGAAGCUGCUGCAUAGUAGUUAAGUUUAUGACUGAAGGAGAGAGUUGGUUAUUCAUUCAGUUCAAUAGGGCUUGAGUAGAUGUACUUACUACCAAGUAAGGCAUCAAGUUUUUUUGACCUUUGUCUUUCACUAUUAUAGCAAUCGACCCUCGUAUUCCCAAGUAACUUUACUUGAUGCUUAAUUGCUUAUGGGCAUCUUCACAUCUUUCUGAUGGCAGUGGCAAGAUCCAAGCUGUAUUGAGGCUGCCAUCUGCUUUUAACUUGUGGAGCGUGUACUCUUCGUGUUCUAUGUUCUGUCUUUUUACAUUCGACUUGCAGUUAAGUCUUAUCACUGCACUUUGUGUUAUUGGUUUAUUGUUGCUGGUGGUGACGUUCAGACUCAGGAAAAAUGAUGCUAUCAGUAAAGUCGGAGAAAUAGUCCCUCUGUGAAAUCGGCACUUCCUUGGGCCAUUUCUAGAAAAGAGUUUCAAGAAGGAAGCUAAUGGCCAAUGGGCCGUUUCCAAAUCAGUUCAGAAGAUAAAAGGACAGAUUAGUAGUCACAGAUGCAGGCUGUCACUGAUGCUGGAAUUAUACCUCCUUUAGUCCAUCUGCUCCAAAUGCCGAGUUUAAUCUCUAAGGGAUGUUUCUUUGGGACGUUAAUAACCAAUAAAGCAUAAUGUACUUUCAUAAUGUAUCACAAUUUGUUUGUUCUAUGAUUUUCAAUGAAAAAGGUCAAAUUUUCACCUUUUA
This is an RNA transcript of Beta vulgaris subsp. vulgaris (sugar beet), 2970 nucleotides long. It is a transcript of the gene named probable pre-mRNA-splicing factor ATP-dependent RNA helicase DEAH4, with no coding region annotated. The record is from RefSeq and is a predicted model, not a curated record. Lineage: Eukaryota; Viridiplantae; Streptophyta; Magnoliopsida; Caryophyllales; Amaranthaceae. The transcript is spliced from 4 exons.